UAGAGGGUGAGAAUCCCGUAGCCGAAAAUGUGACGACUGUUGAUAUGGACACCCAAGUAGCAGCGGGCCCGUGAAAUCUGCUGUGAAUCUGUCGGGACCACCCGAUAAGCCUGAAUACUCCCUGGUGACCGAUAGCGGACUAGUACCGUGAGGGAAAGGUGAAAAGAACCGGGAAUACCGGAGUGAAAAGAACCUGAAACCGUGUG
RNAcentral lists this ribosomal RNA (206 nucleotides) under Hemiselmis andersenii. Its description in RNAcentral is "partial Bacterial large subunit ribosomal RNA". It matches the Rfam family "Bacterial large subunit ribosomal RNA", at positions 358 to 562 of the family's 2925-position model. The record is from RNAcentral. Lineage: Eukaryota; Cryptophyceae; Cryptomonadales; Hemiselmidaceae.